UAAUUUGGUCGCUUUUUUCUAGCACCGGAGGUAUGAUGGGGCUCAGCUAUGCGGGAUAGGAGGGAUUGGCCGAGAGCAGAGGGAGUCUACGUCGGUGGGCGACUUAGCUUAGCGCGACGGUCCGAGCAGGCGGAGCGGCACCGACGCAGGGAGGGGCCUACCGCCGCUGCUACCUCCCUCGGUGACCGCGACCGGUCCGAGGGCCGGCUACCUGCGCGGCCCAACAGCGAGGAGGCCCGGUCGGGGAGGGCGGCACGACGUAGUGCACCGCCGCAUCCCUUGGGAUUGGUCGGGGGCUAGAAGCGUAGAGAGGGACUUAGGGAGGAGGAGGUGCUCGGCGCGCACACGAAGAGAAGAGGGUGUACGACGAGGAGAGGGAGGGGUUUAGCCGUACCUAGAGCGUGACGACCUAGGGGAGGAGAGGGAGGGACUGAACAGCACUUAGAACACGACGCUCUCGACGAGGAUAGGGAAGGGACCGGCGGUACCUAGACCGGUCCGUGGUAACCUCCUUCGGGUUGUAAAUACGAUCCGCCACAUAUGUCCGACCAUGUAACGUGGCCCACUUCCCACGUCUAGUACAAGGACUCUCGUAGGUUUUGUAUACCCUCCACGACGGGCCUCGACACCCUCCUGGCGCAGCACUCUGGAGCCACUGACGCCUGUACCAGGUCCCAUCCACGAUUACCUCUCAACCUCCCACUUACCCUCUCCACUAUCGAUUAAUACCAAACUGAAAUCAUUAAUAUAAACAAGGAACAAGCAACGGUAAAACAACACGAUUUACAUCAUACACUAGAUCUCCUAUAAAUCCAUAGUCUAAUCAUUGUCACGUCAUCGUAGUCUGUGAACCACAAAAGAGUACACUAUAUAGAUUCACCAUUAGUCAACAUGUUGAUCUGUUUACGUUUACAGGUAUCAUUAUUUGAACACCAGUGUUUUGACGACGAAUUUCAAACAAGUUAAUACCUUUACCCGUAAAAUCAAGACGAGGAAUUAAAACAAGUUAAUACAUUUGCGUACCCGUGCGCUACGGCAAAGGAAUGGAGUGUUUUAGUUUGACUUCCGUAGGUUAAGACCACCAUUAUUGACUAGUGCACAUAACGGUAAAAAUGUCUUGUUAAAUAAGAGGAUGAGAGGUCUCUAGACUAGUAUUGAUAGAACGAGUAAACUACAACAAUACAAACAAUGAGACAGAACCAUCUUUGUCUAUAAUUCCUCUCCGUGAGGUUCUCUAGUACACAUUCAUGUUAACUCAACACUCAAAAGAAAAAAUGUGGUAACUAUAUUAAAAUUAUAAAUACUACUAACGUAUACCUAUAUAUCGAUAAAACAAAUGGAACACUUUAUCAUGGUUAGAAUCUUGUACGAGGAUUAAGUCCAUUUUGAUACCUUUUACUUACCCAUCUAUCUAAAACUCUAAACCAGGAAGAUAACUGGUUAGCAUAUCUAAUACUAGGAUAUCUCAAUCUCAACAAUUAAUACAAUAAUAACCACAUCAAUUUUGGAAGUCUGUCGAUUACCAGAACAGUAGUACAAAAUCAUAACUUGACGUCUUAUGACCUCGGCAUCAAAGGCGGAGUACGAAAGAGGGAACAUUCCUCCUAUCGGCCCCGCGCCACGCUCCUAUCGACGGCGAAGUAGGCUCCUACGCGGACGACUGCCUACAGCGCAGCUCAGGUACUGCCUGGAGAAACACGUUCCGUAGUGGAGGAGGGAAGUAGAGAAGAGAUAAGUCGGGCCAGCCUCACUCGUACGUGCACGUAAGGAUGCAUGACUUUACCAGCAAGGGCACGCAGAGGUUCCAACUUGUUUAUACCAAAACAAAUUGACCACCGAUCGAAAAAGAAUGAUUACCUUGGACGUCGAGCCUUGUGUGACGUGGGGCCACUACCCUUCAGGCCUUGUUGAUAGUUACGUCCUCUGCUAGUCGACAAGACGUGACCUAGCCCUUCUAGUCACAAACGGUCGCUCUCCCGAUAUUCCUCCCGGUCCCACAACCAGUCCCUCCUCGACAUCUUCUGACCAUAGUUCACUUCACCCUCGAAUACACUGGUUAAAAACCAAACGUCAUCAGUUUGAUAAGGUAACAAGCAAAGACAUACAUGACAUUACCCUAUCACCCUACUGGUCACUGCUGCACGGACUACGUUUCCCUAUUACUCUCUUUACCUGGGAGGUAAAUCUGCGUCUCACACAUGUCAUGGUACCGGGUCACAAGGUUUGACCUAGUCCUUUUCGCCAGAACAACCCGUUACGAAGUUACGUGUUCCGUACUCGAUAAAAUCCUCGACCUCCCUCUACCCUAUGACUGCUAAUAACUCUCGAUAACCUAAUAACUCUCAACGGUAAACACUUUUUUAUGUUAUAAAACCUCCCGUAGAGACUGUCCUAUGUGUAUGAAGGCCUACGUUAUCAAAGACUUCGUCGUGGGGACUUCUUUCUACUAUACCUUAUGCGGAACCUAUAGAUGGUAGGGUUGGCAUAUUAGUCUUCUUAUUAUGAAUUGACAGGAUGUAAACGAUGUUGGGAGACCUUUUUUAAGAGAACUUCCCUUCACGUUCAAUAUACAACUACCACCUCCACACUUAGAAUGGUCGCUACACAUAAGAAGGAAAUGAUAGGUAUACUUUCACUCCACGAAUUACGCGUUCGGAGAUAGUUGUCUCGUGGCGUCUCGAGUACGUUUCUGGUACUCCUCGUCGUGACGACCUGCCUUGUCUUUGUUGUUACCACUACAUCGAAGAAUAAGGGGUAUGAGCAUUGUGCCACCUCCCGCUGUUUGUUACAUUGACUACCACCGUCACCACCACAUCCCCUCCUCGUAUACCUGGUAUGUUAGAUCCUCAGGACUAGCGUUCGACACUAAGACGGUACAAUAGCCACGAACUCGCGGCAUACUCCCACUUCUUGUAAUGGAAUAGUUACACAGAACGUACGGUGGGCAAUGGAACUCAGGAGCCAUAUAAUCCCAACAUUACAAAACAAAUAAGUUACCUAAGAACCGGCAGGACAUCGAUUAAGGUAGGUCAUAAGCAAGAUCGUUCACAAAACCAGACCACACAUUAAAACCCGGACGACACAACGGUAUAGGGAAAAAAAUUUGGCCUAGACGGUCCGCUACACAGUGACCAAGGGACCAGCUUGGAGGCCAGCACUACCAAACCAUCUCUACGUUAAACAUUUUAAUGAAUUGAUUCAACCCAAACUAUUUCGCUAGUGUUUCUUCUACGUC
Molecule: ribosomal RNA, 3235 nt
Filed under: Triticum aestivum (bread wheat)
Lineage: Eukaryota; Viridiplantae; Streptophyta; Magnoliopsida; Poales; Poaceae
Description: partial small subunit ribosomal RNA
Source: RNAcentral